AUAUUGUUUUCAAGGCUCCACAGGCAGUGUGAACAGCAUCUUAUGAGACAGAAGUCUGCACCAAUCGUAUGAGGUUCUUCGUGAACCAAAUAGAAAAAUAAAAAAUACUCUUCCCCUGCAACUUUGAGUGAGUUAUAUAGUUAUUAAGUGCAUGCAUAUUUUAUUUUACUUAUUAGUACUUGAUUUGGGUUUUAUAUAGUUAUAGGCCUGACUAUAUAUAUGUGUAAUAAACAGCUUUCACUGGACAUUCAUGGUCAUUGAAAUUCCCAAUAACCGG
Molecule: long non-coding RNA, 277 nt
Filed under: Sorghum bicolor (sorghum)
Lineage: Eukaryota; Viridiplantae; Streptophyta; Magnoliopsida; Poales; Poaceae
Description: long non-coding RNA (SBIC_LNC017426)
Source: RNAcentral